RNAcentral lists this ribosomal RNA (403 nucleotides) under Nematopalaemon tenuipes. RNAcentral describes it as "partial 16S ribosomal RNA". It matches the Rfam family "Archaeal large subunit ribosomal RNA", at positions 2009 to 2609 of the family's 2987-position model. The record is from RNAcentral. Lineage: Eukaryota; Metazoa; Arthropoda; Malacostraca; Decapoda; Palaemonidae.
UGCGGUAAUUUGACCGUGCGAAGGUAGCAUAAUCAAUAGUCUCUUAAUUGGAGGCUUGAAUGAACGGCUGGAUGAGGGAUUAACUGUCUUCCGUUGUACAUGCUGAAUUUAACUUUUAAGUGAGAAGGCUUAAAUAUAAUAGUGGGACGAUAAGACCCUAUAAAACUUUAUAUAAGUGGACUGAGCCUGUGAUUUAUCUGGUAAAGCGGGCUGGGUUUUUUUAUAUUUUGUUGGGGCGACAUUGAUAAAAUUUGUUGGUAACUGUUCUGUGAAUUUUAUAAUGGUGGUUAGGUAAAGAUCCUUUUAUAAGGAUUAAGAGUUUAAGUUACUUUAGGGAUAACAGCGUAAUUUUUCUUGAGAGUUCUUAUCGACAGAAGUAGUUGCGACCUCGAUGUUGAAUUAA